GGGGCGGUCUCCUCCUAAAGAGUAACGGAGGAGCACGAAGGUUGGCUAAUCCUGGUCGGACAUCAGGAGGUUAGUGCAAUGGCAUAAGCCAGCUUGACUGCGAGCGUGACGGCGCGAGCAGGUGCGAAAGCAGGUCAUAGUGAUCCGGUGGUUCUGAAUGGAAGGGCCAUCGCUCAACGGAUAAAAGGUACUCCGGGGAUAACAGGCUGAUACCGCCCAAGAGUUCAUAUCGACGGCGGUGUUUGGCACCUCGAUGUCGGCUCAUCACAUCCUGGGGCUGAAGUAGGUCCCAAGGGUAUGGCUGUUCGCCAUUUAAAGUGGUACGCGAGCUGGGUUUAGAACGUCGUGAGACAGUUCGGUCCCUAUCUGCCGUGGGCGCUGGAGAACUGAGGGGGGCUGCUCCUAGUACGAGAGGACCGGAGUGGACGCAUCACUGGUGUUCGGGUUGUCAUGCCAAUGGCACUGCCCGGUAGCUAAAUGCGGAAGAGAUAAGUGCUGAAAGCAUCUAAGCACGAAACUUGCCCCGAGAUGAGUUCUCCCUGACUCCUUGAGAGUCCUGAAGGAACGUUGAAGACGACGACGUUGAUAGGCCGGGUGUGUAAGCGCAGCGAUGCGUUGAGCUAACCGGUACUAAUGAACCGUGAGGCUUAACCUUACAAC
RNAcentral lists this ribosomal RNA (660 nucleotides) under Escherichia coli. RNAcentral's name for it is "partial 23S ribosomal RNA". It matches the Rfam family "Bacterial large subunit ribosomal RNA", at positions 2276 to 2925 of the family's 2925-position model. The record is from RNAcentral. Lineage: Bacteria; Pseudomonadati; Pseudomonadota; Gammaproteobacteria; Enterobacterales; Enterobacteriaceae.